CUGCUGCCUUCCGUAGGAGUCUGGACCGUGUCUCAGUUCCAGUGUGGCUGGUCAUCCUCUCAGACCAGCUAGGGAUCGUCGCCUAGGUGAGCCGUUACCCCACCUACUAGCUAAUCCCAUCUGGGCACAUCCGAUGGCAAGAGGCCCGAAGGUCCCCCUCUUGGUCUUGCGACGUUAUGCGGUAUUAGCUACCGUUUCCAGUAGUUAUCCCCCUCCAUCAGGCGGUUUCCCAGACAUUACUCACCCGUCCGCCA
RNAcentral lists this ribosomal RNA (254 nucleotides) under uncultured bacterium. Its description in RNAcentral is "partial 16S ribosomal RNA". The record is from RNAcentral.